GGGGGUAUAGCUCAGCGGUAGAGCAUUUGACUGCAGAUCAAGAGGUCUCCAGUUCAACUCUGGGUGCCCCCU
This 72-nucleotide transfer RNA is filed under the name Oryzias latipes (Japanese medaka). Its description in RNAcentral is "tRNA-Cys (GCA) (tRNA-Cys-GCA-12-1, tRNA-Cys-GCA-12-2)". It matches the Rfam family "tRNA". From Rfam's summary of the family: Transfer RNA (tRNA) molecules are approximately 80 nucleotides in length. Their secondary structure includes four short double-helical elements and three loops (D, anti-codon, and T loops). The record is from Rfam by way of RNAcentral. Lineage: Eukaryota; Metazoa; Chordata; Actinopteri; Beloniformes; Adrianichthyidae.